AGUGAACGCUGGCGGUAGGCCUAACGCAUGCAAGUCGAACGGCAGCACAGUAAGAGCUUGCUCUUACGGGUGGCGAGUGGCGGACGGGUGAGGAAUACAUCGGAAUCUACUUUUUCGUGGGGGAUAACGUAGGGAAACUUACGCUAAUACCGCAUACGACCUACGGGUGAAAGCAGGGGAUCUUCGGACCUUGCGCGAUUGAAUGAGCCGAUGUCGGAUUAGCUAGUUGGCGGGGUAAAGGCCCACCAAGGCGACGAUCCGUAGCUGGUCUGAGAGGAUGAUCAGCCACACUGGAACUGAGACACGGUCCAGACCCCUACGGGAGGCAGCAGUGGGGAAUAUUGGACAAUGGGCGCAAGCCUGAUCCAGCCAUACCGCGUGGGUGAAGAAGGCCUUCGGGUUGUAAAGCCCUUUUGUUGGGAAAGAAAAGCAGCAGGUUAAUACCCCGCUGUUCUGACGGUACCCAAAGAAUAAGCACCGGCUAACUUCGUG
Molecule: ribosomal RNA, 492 nt
Filed under: uncultured bacterium
Lineage: Bacteria
Description: partial 16S ribosomal RNA
Rfam family: Bacterial small subunit ribosomal RNA
Source: RNAcentral